CUCUUUUAUGUUCCUUAGUUUCGUUCUUCGGAAAAAAUAACUGAACAAUGACGUCAUAGUCAAAAAAGAAGUCCAAAUUUGUUUUUUCACUGACAAUGAAUCAUGAUGACUGUACUGGAUAAACACAAGAUGUGAGGCAUCUUUGUCAAAUUAUGAUUGCUUAUGCAGCAGAUUUUUCCCACACGUUUUGCAAAAAUAAAUUAAGAUGUAACCAUCGAGCUCUUUUAAAAUCAUUCACUAUUUUCAGUACUUUCCUUCCUUAACAUCAGCCCACUUCUUUACGGAAUUUUCCUUGGCUCUGAAAGAUGCGUUCUUCUUUAUGGCUGGCAAUCUUCGUCUUGGUGUGCUGCGUCCUAUUCGUAGCUGAAUCCAAAUCUCUGGGCACUACCACUGGUUUAACACAGAAGAAGAUCCUCCGGUUCAGAAGGGAAAUAUUCGGUUUCAAAAUCAGUGACAUCUUAAAAGCUAUGCUAAAAAUGUUCUUCGAUACCUUAAUGGAUAGCAUACCUAUCAUUGGCUGAAAGACUUCUCUCAAGCAUUUCAGUCACAUGAGAUUUUUAUUGAGCGAAUAAUGGUCAUGAAUAAAGAAUUUUAGAUUA
This is a long non-coding RNA of Argiope bruennichi, 599 nucleotides long. RefSeq lists it as uncharacterized. The transcript has 2 exons. Lineage: Eukaryota; Metazoa; Arthropoda; Arachnida; Araneae; Araneidae. The record is from RefSeq and is a predicted model, not a curated record.